Candidatus Thioglobus autotrophicus is the source of this 96-nucleotide non-coding RNA. It matches the Rfam family "Bacterial small signal recognition particle RNA". From Rfam's summary of the family: The signal recognition particle (SRP) is a universally conserved ribonucleoprotein involved in the co-translational targeting of proteins to membranes. The record is from Rfam. Lineage: Bacteria; Pseudomonadati; Pseudomonadota; Gammaproteobacteria; Pseudothioglobaceae (SeqCode).
UUAGGGUGCGCCGACAAUGAAUGACUACAAACCCCGCCAGGCCCGGAAGGGAGCAACGGUAGUAGUUUUUUCAGGUGUUGGAUGUUAUUCUGAGUG